UCGGAUAUGGUGUAACGGCUAACAUUGCCGCCUCUCACACGAGUGCCCGCGGCAGCUCGGGGUUCGAUUCCCCGUAUCCGAA
Molecule: transfer RNA, 82 nt
Filed under: Vararia minispora EC-137
Lineage: Eukaryota; Fungi; Basidiomycota; Agaricomycetes; Russulales; Lachnocladiaceae
Description: tRNA-Glu
Rfam family: tRNA
About the family: Transfer RNA (tRNA) molecules are approximately 80 nucleotides in length. Their secondary structure includes four short double-helical elements and three loops (D, anti-codon, and T loops).
Source: RNAcentral